RNAcentral lists this ribosomal RNA (492 nucleotides) under uncultured bacterium. Its description in RNAcentral is "partial 16S ribosomal RNA". It matches the Rfam family "Bacterial small subunit ribosomal RNA", at positions 29 to 507 of the family's 1533-position model. The record is from RNAcentral.
AGUGAACGCUGGCGGUAGGCCUAACACAUGCAAGUCGAACGGCAGCACAGUAAGAGCUUGCUCUUACGGGUGGCGAGUGGCGGACGGGUGAGGAAUACAUCGGAAUCUACUUUUUCGGGGGGGAUAACGUAGGGAAACUUAAGCUAAUACCGCAUACGACCUACGGGUGAAAGCAGGGGAUCUUCGGACCUUGCGCGAUUGAAUGAGCCGAUGUCGGAUUAGCUAGUUGGCGGGGUAAAGGCCCACCAAGGCGACGAUCCGUAGCUGGUCUGAGAGGAUGAUCAGCCACACUGGAACGGAGACACGGUCCAGACUCCUACGGGAGGCAGCAGUGGGGAAUAUUGGACAAUGGGCGCAAGCCUGAUCCAGCCAUACCGCGUGGGUGAAGAAGGCCUUCGGGUUGUAAAGCCCUUUUGUUGGGAAAGAAAAGCAGCAGGUUAAUACCCCGCUGUUCUGACGGUACCCAAAGAAUAAGCACCGGCUAACUUCGUG